RNAcentral lists this ribosomal RNA (505 nucleotides) under uncultured bacterium. Its description in RNAcentral is "bacterial SSU rRNA". It matches the Rfam family "Bacterial small subunit ribosomal RNA", at positions 21 to 518 of the family's 1533-position model. The record is from RNAcentral.
GGCUCAGGAUGAACGCUAGCGAUAGGCCUAACACAUGCAAGUCGAGGGGCAGCAUAGAGUAGCAAUACUUGAUGGCGACCGGCGCACGGGUGAGUAACACGUAUGCAACCUACCUACAUCAGGGGAAUAACCCGGAGAAAUUCGGACUAAUACCGCAUAAUACAGGGAUGCCGCAUGGUAAUAUUUGUUAAAGAUUUAUCGGAUGUAGAUGGGCAUGCGUUCCAUUAGCUAGUUGGUAAGGUAACGGCUUACCAAGGCAACGAUGGAUAGGGGAACUGAGAGGUUUGUCCCCCACACUGGAACUGAGACACGGACCAGACUCCUACGGGAGGCAGCAGUGAGGAAUAUUGGUCAAUGGACGAGAGUCUGAACCAGCCAAAUCGCGUGAAGGAAAGACUGCCCUACGGGUUGUAAACUUCUUUUGUACAGGAAUAAAAGACAUUACGUGUAGUGUAUUGCAUGUACUGUACGAAUAAGCAUCGGCUGACUCCGUGCCAGCCGCGGC